AAGUCGUAACAAGGUUUCCGUAGGUGAACCUGCGGAAGGAUCAUUACCGAAUUGUCAACAAGAGUUGUUGCUGGCCUCCAAACGGAGACAUGUGCACGCUCUGUUCACACAUCCACUCACACCUGUGCACCCUCCGUAGUUCUAUGGUUGGGGGAUUUUGUCCCCCUCUGUGGUUCUGCAUCUUUACACACACUCUGUAUAAAAGUCUCAUGGAAUGUAUGCCGCGAUUAACGCAAUAUAAUACAACUUUCAGCAACGGAUCUCUUGGCUCUC
This 273-nucleotide unclassified non-coding RNA is filed under the name air metagenome. RNAcentral's name for it is "partial contains small subunit ribosomal RNA, internal transcribed spacer 1, and 5.8S ribosomal RNA". The stretch from base 1 to 46 matches the Rfam family "Eukaryotic small subunit ribosomal RNA", at positions 1786 to 1831 of the family's 1831-position model. The record is from RNAcentral.